Molecule: unclassified non-coding RNA, 263 nt
Filed under: fungal sp.
Lineage: Eukaryota; Fungi
Description: partial internal transcribed spacer region
Rfam family: Eukaryotic small subunit ribosomal RNA (bases 1-46)
Source: RNAcentral
AAGUCGUAACAAGGUUUUCGUAGGUGAACCUGCGGAAGGAUCAUUAGUGAAUAAAAAUGGUGGGUCUUCUCUGAAUAAGAGUUGGCCUUUAUCCAAUCACUUUUUCACACACACUUGUGCACUUGUUCUUUUUUACUAUUUCAACACAACAAGUUGUGUUGAGAUUUUAAAUAUACACUUGUGAUAAUUAAUAACAGUUGUUGAUGUAAUAACAAUUUGAUAAAUGAUAGUAAAAACUUUCAGCAAUGGAUCUCUUGGCUCUC